UGAGUCAGCUGGGCAAUUGCUGUUUUGAGCUCUUUGUUUAACGUUUAGACGUUAUCUAAGGAAUGAAGCAGAGGAAAGUCCGGGCUCCGCAGAGCAGAGUGCCAGGUAAUACCUGGGGGGUGCGAACCUACGGAAAGUGCAGCAGAAAGUAAACCGCCAUUAAGCCUAGCUUAGUGGUAAGGGUGAAAGGGUGCGGUAAGAGCGCACCGCGCGACUGGUAACAGUUCGUGGCAUGGUAAACCCCGCUCGGAGCAAGGCCAAAUAGGAAUCUUUUAGUGCUGCUCGCACUGGAUUCGGGUAGGCCGCUUGAUACCUGUGGUGACACAAGGUACAGAUGAAUAAUUGUCCACGACAGAACCCGGCUUAUAGGUUGACUCACUAA
Molecule: RNase P RNA, 382 nt
Filed under: SAR86 cluster bacterium
Lineage: Bacteria; Pseudomonadati; Pseudomonadota; Gammaproteobacteria
Description: RNase P RNA component class A
Rfam family: Bacterial RNase P class A
About the family: Ribonuclease P (RNase P) is a ubiquitous endoribonuclease, found in archaea, bacteria and eukarya as well as chloroplasts and mitochondria. Its best characterised activity is the generation of mature 5'-ends of tRNAs by cleaving the 5'-leader elements of precursor-tRNAs.
Source: RNAcentral